AUCGGAAAUGCUAGUAAAGUGGUUGUAAUUCACUUUCACUGUUUCUACAUUUACUAAAGUUUCAAUGACAGAAUCCUUGAGCCCAAUAAGCUUCGCAUGUGAGAUAUCAAAGUAGACGAGAUUGCUAUAGCUAAAUGCCGGAUCAAUUGUAGUCAGUGGACAAAACGAGAAGUCGAUGAAUGUAGCUGACGGAUUGGAAUAUUCGUAAAAAGAAAGUAAAUUGCAAGCUACAUUGAUGCUAUUUAGUUUCGGACAUUCAGAUAAACUGGCGAUGUUAGUAAUCGCAUUAUAACUAAGGUCAAUUGUUUCCAGAUUUUUUAGCAAGCCUAUUUCCUGUGGAAGCCGAUUAGAUAAAUCAUUAAAUUGUAGAUAUAGAUGCUUCAAUUUAACAAGAGAGCCAAUUUUGCUAGAUAUCUGUGACAAUAAAUUAUGCGAAAAGUUAAGAGUCUCCAAUUGGGACAACUCAGUAAUUAUUAAAGGGAAAGUCACAAAAUUAUUGUAGGAUAAAUCAAGAUAGGUUAGAUUCACCAAAUAUCUAGUAGAAUGGGGAAGGAAGAACAGCUUAUUAUUAGCUAUAUUCAAUUCUUUCAGAGAAUUUCGACUAAGCCCAGAGAAUAUAAGAGGAUCCAAUUCAUAUAUAUCGUUACGAGACAUGUUCAAAACUUCCAAUUGGCGA
Schizosaccharomyces pombe (fission yeast) is the source of this 676-nucleotide non-coding RNA. Lineage: Eukaryota; Fungi; Ascomycota; Schizosaccharomycetes; Schizosaccharomycetales; Schizosaccharomycetaceae. The record is from the annotation of a GenBank genome assembly.